This 22-nucleotide microRNA is filed under the name Oreochromis niloticus (Nile tilapia). RNAcentral describes it as "oni-miR-10604". Lineage: Eukaryota; Metazoa; Chordata; Actinopteri; Cichliformes; Cichlidae. The record is from miRBase by way of RNAcentral.
UACAUGCAGAGGUGGAGCAAGA